This 215-nucleotide long non-coding RNA is filed under the name Mytilus galloprovincialis (Mediterranean mussel). Lineage: Eukaryota; Metazoa; Mollusca; Bivalvia; Mytilida; Mytilidae. The record is from RNAcentral.
GCAGUGGUCAUUGUUAUCAUUAGCUUUAUUUAAAGUAAGUUCUACAGGAUAAAUUUCUUUAGUAUACAUACUGAAGUCGUCAUUAUUUAGAGCCAAUAUAUCAUCCAAAUAUCUAAAAGUAUUGUUAAAUUUUUGUAUCAAAUGUUGUUUUGAUGGGUCUUUGCUAAUUUUAGUCAUAAAUUGUAACUCAUAACAAUACAAAAACAGGUCCGCAC